RNAcentral lists this ribosomal RNA (552 nucleotides) under Triticum aestivum (bread wheat). Its description in RNAcentral is "partial small subunit ribosomal RNA". Lineage: Eukaryota; Viridiplantae; Streptophyta; Magnoliopsida; Poales; Poaceae. The record is from RNAcentral.
AUGCUUUCUCGGUCGAUCGGCGUUGAUGUCGAGUAUACCAGGGAAGACGAACCUCCGCAAAUGGCUGCAGUUCUGCAGUUAUGCGUGGAGGAUCUCGUCCUGGUAUACCACAUCAUCGUGGCAACCAAAUGGCCCAAGGAACUCCGUCCGCUCCUGCAGGAGAAGAAGCUGUACACCUUUGUUGGCUUCUCCAUUGGAGGUGACAAGGAGAAGCUGAAGUUGUCUGGUUUGGAGAUCAACCCCGACAAGUACGUUGACAUGCAGCGCAAAUGGAGAGUUCCAAAUGAUGGAAAGAAGUGGCAGUCUUUGGCUGAGUUUGCAGCCAACCUCAUCCACCCAUCCUACAAGGAAAUGAUGCAGAAGAUCAACAAGAAAUUGGACCACAAACUAUGGGGGGACAGCCCACUGCCAAACAACCUCAUCGAGUAUGCAGCGAAAGAUGCGUACGUCACCUACGAGGCAUGGAAGAAAAUCGAAACCAUCAAAGAAGGUUUGAAGCAAUGGCAAGAGGCGGAGGAUCAUUGGGAUGACCCCUACUAUUGGGGAUAUUGA